AGCAGCCGCGGUAAUUCCAGCUCCAAUAGCGUAUAUUAAAGUUGCUGCAGUUAAAAAGCUCGUAGUUGAAUUUCGGGACUAAUAUGUUGGUCGUGCCUCGGUACGUACUGAUAUUUUUGGUUUCUCCCUUCUGACGAACCUUGAUGUCAUUAAUUUGGUGUCUUGGGAAAUCAGGACAGUUACUUUGAAAAAAUUUAGAGUGUUUAAAGCAGGCUCACGCUUGAAUACAUUAGCAUGGAAUAAUGAAAUAGGACGUUUGAUUCUAUUUUGUUGGUUUCUAGGAUUGACGUAAUGAUUAAUAGGGAUAGUUGGGGGCAUUAGUAUUCAAUUGUCAGAGGUGAAAUUCUUGGAUUUAUUGAAGACUAACUACUGCGAAAGCAUUUGCCAAGGAUGUUUUCAUUAAUCAAGAACGAAAGUUAGGGGAUCGAAGACGAUCAGAUACCGUCGUAGUCUUAACCAUAAACUAUGCCGACUAGGGAUCGGAUGAUGUUAAUUUUUUAAUGACUCAUUCGGCGCCUUA
This 520-nucleotide ribosomal RNA is filed under the name uncultured Glomus. RNAcentral's name for it is "SSU rRNA". It matches the Rfam family "Eukaryotic small subunit ribosomal RNA", at positions 569 to 1090 of the family's 1831-position model. The record is from RNAcentral. Lineage: Eukaryota; Fungi; Glomeromycota; Glomeromycetes; Glomerales; Glomeraceae.